UGAGGUCCUAAAGUUCAGAGUCUUACUCUGCUAAGAUUGGUGACGUUAUACAAAGAAGGAGAGCGAGCAAUCUCUCCCUCUUUGUGUGCAGGCAUGUUGAGGCAAGGUCACGGUGAGAAGGUGACCAUGUGCACACCAGGAAGAGAGCCCUCAUCCAAAUCAAAGCCUACCAGAUCUUAAUCCGGGACUUCUAGCCUCCAGAACCAUGAGAGGUGGACAGAGAUCCUGUUGCAGAAGCCACCCCUAGCAGACCGAGACACACGUAUGGACAGAAAAAAAGAAAUCCAUCAGCACAGAAAGCGAGGACCUGAGCAUCCCACCCCCAGCCCUGGGGCUCUGUAUUUGGAUUGUGGCUUUUGGCAGGACUUUUCUCCAUCUGGAUCUGCUACAGCUCAGCCCUAGAGCUGCACUCUCUGCGGCCGCAGGUGCCUGCGCUCGGGGAGAACGCUCUCGGCCUCGCGGCGCCCAGCCACUGCCCCGCCUCCUGCAGCGGCCGACCCGGACUGCCAGCCCCCCAGGGGCCCUUACGUCGUGGUGACCACUCCGACCGCAGGGGUGGAAAAUGGUACCAGUCAAGCCCGAGCUGGAGGAGCCCGCCGCCGCAGCCCUGAC
This 612-nucleotide long non-coding RNA is filed under the name Zalophus californianus (California sea lion). RNAcentral describes it as "lncRNA (ENSZCAG00015005749.1)". Lineage: Eukaryota; Metazoa; Chordata; Mammalia; Carnivora; Otariidae. The record is from RNAcentral.